CAGGACGAACGCUGGCGGCGUGCCUAAUACAUGCAAGUCGAACGGUCUUUCUAUGGAAGCUUGCUUCCACUGAGAAGAUAGUGGCGAACGGGUGAGUAACACGUGGGUAACCUGCCCAUGAGAGGGGGAUAACAUCCGGAAACGGUAGCUAAUACCGCAUAAUGUCGCAAGACCAAAGAGGGGGACCUUCGGGCCUCUUGCCAUCGGAUGUGCCCAGAUGGGAUUAGCUUGUUGGUGAGGUAACGGCUCACCAAGGCGACGAUCCCUAGCUGGUCUGAGAGGAUGACCAGCCACACUGGAACUGAGACACGGUCCAGACUCCUACGGGAGGCAGCAGUGGGGAAUAUUGCACAAUGGGCGCAAGCCUGAUGCAGCCAUUGCCGCGUGUAUGAAGAAGGCCUUCGGGUUGUAAAGUACUUUCAGCGGGGAGGAAGGGGUUAAGGUUAAUAACCUUAGCCAUUGACGUUACCCGCAGAAGAAGCACCGGCUAACUCCGUGCCAGCCGCAGC
This 509-nucleotide ribosomal RNA is filed under the name uncultured bacterium. RNAcentral describes it as "bacterial SSU rRNA". It matches the Rfam family "Bacterial small subunit ribosomal RNA", at positions 25 to 518 of the family's 1533-position model. The record is from RNAcentral.